RNAcentral lists this ribosomal RNA (497 nucleotides) under uncultured bacterium. RNAcentral describes it as "partial 16S ribosomal RNA". It matches the Rfam family "Bacterial small subunit ribosomal RNA", at positions 28 to 507 of the family's 1533-position model. The record is from RNAcentral.
GACGAACGCUGGCGGCGUGCCUAAUACAUGCAAGUUGAGCGCUGAAGGUUGGUACUUGUACCAACUGGAUGAGCAGCGAACGGGUGAGUAACGCGUGGGGAAUCUGCCUUUGAGCGGGGGACAACAUUUGGAAACGAAUGCUAAUACCGCAUAAAAACUUUAAACACAAGUUUUAAGUUUGAAAGAUGCAAUUGCAUCACUCAAAGAUGAUCCCGCGUUGUAUUAGCUAGUUGGUGAGGUAAAGGCUCACCAAGGCGAUGAUACAUAGCCGACCUGAGAGGGUGAUCGGCAACAUUGGGACUGAGACACGGCCCAAACUCCUACGGGAGGCAGCAGUAGGGAAUCUUCGGCAAUGGACGAAAGUCUGACCGAGCAACGCCGCGUGAGUGAAGAAGGUUGUCGGAUCGUAAAACUCUGUUGGUAGAGAAGAACGUUGGUGAGAGUGGAAAGCUCAUCAAGUGACGGUAACUACCCAGAAAGGGACGGCUAACUACGUG